ACCCACGGGCGGCUAGCAGCUGUGUGCGGAGUCCGGGAUGAGCGUCUUCGCUGCGGCAGGCGCUGGGCUACUGUGCGCUGGGCGGCUGUGCGCCGUGCGCGCGGUCCUUCCUUGUCUUUGGAGAGGAAAGUACUUCAGUUCCGGGAAUGAGCCGGCAGAAGACAACCCGGUGACCCCUAUGCUGCGGCAUCUUAUGUACAAAAUCAAGUCUACUGGUCCCAUCACCGUGGCCGAGUACAUGAAGGAGGUCUUGACCAACCCAGCCAAGGGCUAUUAUGUGAACCGUGACAUGCUAGGAGAAAAAGGAGAUUUCAUUACUUCACCUGAAAUAAGUCAGAUCUUUGGGGAGCUCCUAGGGAUAUGGUUCAUCAGUGAAUGGAUAGCCACUGGAAAAAAUGCAGCUUUCCAACUGGUGGAACUGGGCCCAGGCAGGGGUACCCUCUUGGGAGAUAUUUUGAGGGUGUUCAGUCAGCUUGCAUCUGUGCUGAAAAACUGUGACAUUUCAAUACAUCUGGUAGAGGUGAGCCAAAAAUUAAGUGAGAUUCAAGCAUUAACGUUGACUGAAGAGAAGGUCCUAUUAGAGCGAAAUGCUGGAUCCCCAGUAUAUAUGAAAGGUGUCACUAAGUCUGGAAUUCCAAUUUCCUGGUACCGAGAUCUGCAAGAUGUUCCAAAAGAGUACAGCUUUUAUCUUGCACAUGAAUUUUUCGAUGUUCUUCCUGUGCAUAAGUUUCAGAAAACACCACACGGAUGGCGAGAAGUACUCAUUGAUAUUGAUCCACAGGUUUCUGAUAAACUGAGAUUUGUUUUGGCGCCUUGUGCUACCCCAGCAGAAGCCUUCAUACAAUGUGAUGAAACAAGGGAUCACGUGGAAGUGUGUCCUGAUGCUGGUGUUAUUAUUCAGGAACUUUCUCAACGCAUUUCACUAACUGGAGGUGCUGCCCUGAUUGCUGAUUAUGGUCAUGAUGGAACUAAGACAGAUACCUUCAGAGGGUUUUGUGGCCACAGGCUUCAUGAUGUCUUAAUUGCCCCGGGAACAGCAGACCUCACAGCUGACGUGGACUUCAGUUACUUGCGCAGAAUGUCCCAGGGGAAGGUAGCUUCUCUGGGUCCAAUAAAACAGCAAACAUUUUUAAGAAAUAUGGGCAUUGAUGUGCGGCUGAAGGUUCUUUUAGAUAAAUCAGAUGAGCCAUCACUGAGGCAGCAGUUACUUCAGGGCUAUGAUAUGUUAAUGAAUCCUACGAAGAUGGGAGAAAGAUUUAACUUUUUUGCCUUGAUACCUCAUCAGAGACUUCAUGGUAGAAAUCAUCAGAUGAAUGCAUGUCAGUCAAAACCCUCUCCAUCACCUGUAGCUGGGUUUGGUGAACUUGCUUGGCGGUGAUAUUUCAGUUUGGACUUUUUACUCCCAAGUUGGCCUAAGAAACUAGAAUAAAGGGAACACAUUUUAUAUAUCACAGAAUCUCUCUUCCCAAGGACACUAUAUAUUGGCAAGUAAAUGAAAUUGAGGUGUAUUGAAGAUAACAAUGUGGCCAGGAGAAGAGUCAUAUUAGAGAUUGCUUGAAAGAGAAAGAGUGUUUUCUAUGACUGUGGAACAAAAUAUUGCUAGUUAGAUGUUUAGAUUUGAAACA
This is an RNA transcript of Eubalaena glacialis (North Atlantic right whale), 1625 nucleotides long. It is a transcript of the gene named NADH:ubiquinone oxidoreductase complex assembly factor 7, with no coding region annotated. The record is from RefSeq and is a predicted model, not a curated record. The transcript is spliced from 11 exons. Lineage: Eukaryota; Metazoa; Chordata; Mammalia; Artiodactyla; Balaenidae.